Molecule: long non-coding RNA, 1003 nt
Organism: Stegodyphus dumicola
Lineage: Eukaryota; Metazoa; Arthropoda; Arachnida; Araneae; Eresidae
Gene: Lztr1
Source: RefSeq, a predicted model, not a curated record
UCGAGAUCAUCUAGUACAGUUUGCGUUGAAACUCUGAGAAGUUCUUACUCAUCAUCCUAAGAUAAUGAAAUUCAGUAAUUUUCGAAUAGAGAAAUAUUAGCAUGAUAAUUACGGAGCUAGGCUUUGUGGUCGUUCAUAUUUAUUCUCUUUGAGAUAUGCUAUUUAAUAUAAGAGAUGAAUUUCGUUCAUGAAUUGAAAGAAAUUACCUCUGUUUUUGUGCAAAAACCAUAUAAUUCUUUAUUCGAUAAAGUUUAUUAUGCUUAUUAAAAUCUGAAAUUUGAAGAACCUCUUACAUAAUAAUGAAGAAUAUGAUAUAAAUAUAUCAGACAGUAUUACUAACAUUAAAAAUUCAAGAUGGCAAUUGCAAGGCCUUUGGGUAUGGAAUUUGAUCAUAGUUGGCCAGAGAGUGCAGAAUGUUUAACACUUGAUUUUGGACCUUUUGAGACUGCUCACCGAUGGAGAAGAAUGCCAGAAUGUGAUGAAUUUGUUGGAGCUAGGUAAUAUCAGAUUUAUUUUUGUAGUGUUGAUUAAGAGUUUUGCUUAGAAAAGAACCGAUAGCUAUCACUCAUUCUGAAUUAUAAGUGCUUAAGUUCACAUUAAGAUACUCUCAGUUUGGUAGAUCAUACAGAAAGAAUAUUGAAUUUAAAAUAUAUUAUUAUUGCACUGCAAGUUAGUUUGAAUGAGUAUUCUAUAGAGGGAAAAAAGGAAUUGCAUUAUGCUCCUUUGGAAUUUCAAUACAAACUGCAUUUCCAGUAUUUUUUGUACUCUAUAUGUAUUUUAAAAUAAAUUAGUUUUUCUUCAUGUAUAUGGAAAUAAGGUCUGGCGUUUUAUGCUAAAUACAUUGUGAUUAAUUUCUGAUUUGAAAGUAUCCUCAUUUCAUAAAGAUACUGCAGUCAUAAGAAUUUUAUCCAGGAUUUACAAACCAUUCAGUAUGGUAGCUAGUACCCUGUACCCGUUCUACUGACCAUUGUAAAAAAAAAAAAAAAAAAAAAAAAAAAAAAAA